GGAUAUUUUGCAAGCGACAGAGAAACUGCUGAGGUUUCUCUACAAAGCUAAAGAAAUUUAAUUUGUGCACUCCCCUUCCCCACCCCUCAACUUCUCCUACCUCCGCCCACCCCCCAGUGAGCCCCUCUCCCAGUCCCUCCUUGCAGCCCCUCCCUCCUGUUGAAAAUUUCUUACUCGGUUCUUUUCUUUCUUUUUUUUUUUUUUUCCAUCUCUCUUUGGGGCUUUGGAGAAAGGGAACAGACGCGGAAAAUAUUUUUGCCACAGUUUUCCAUUCUGCGUCUCAUUCCCAAGCCAAGGGGGAGGGGGAGGGCUGGAACGGAUGGGGGGAAAUAAAUGCUUUUUCCAAAAGCUCAGUUUGGGUGUGAAAAAGACAGUCCCUUCAUUUCCCUACCCCCAUAGCCCAGGAAUAACAAAAACUAGGAAAAGAGAAAAAAAAAUCACUUGUUUGAUUAUACGGUUUCUCAGAACGGAAUCUAGGAAAGAGUGUUCGACAAAUCUGUGCGCACACACACACACAGACACACAGGCACACACACAGAUACACACACUCCAAACCCAGUCGCAAGAAACAUGCUAGGCAGAGGAAAUUCAGGGAGUUUUAGAAGCCAUUGAAACCGAAGAAAGAAACAAAGUUUCAAAUCGCGAGUCAAUUCAUUCUCUGCAAGCCUACCUCUCUUUCUAGCAAAGAUCCAGGCUUCUCCAAGUGGGACUCUCCCUCCGGGUUUGCAUGGACGGCGUAGGGUGGGGGUGACCACCCACCGGUCUCCCCAGGGUGGCCACCACGCUAGAGAUGCUGGCUUUGCUCUCUCGCCUUUCCAGCUACGACCAGGGAGUGGGCUGGGUCUCCUCCCCGGGCCCUCCCAAAGGGAAGGACCUCUCAGGUUCCAAGAAGAUGGGUGCAGCGGAGCUGGACGGGUGUCUCUGGCCUUGCUCUCCUCGGAGGGAUGGUUCCCCAGGAAGUUCGUGCUCCCCCCCCUCAAGCCCCAGCUUUGGACGGUCUCAACAGCAGAGCUUUCUUAAGAAAAUGCUUGUCAUGGCAACAGCUCCAGCCAACUCGGGCCAGAGUCUUGCUCACCAGCUCUCCCGGAGCAGUGAGGGAGGAGAAGGGGGAGGAGCGAGAGCUGGAACGGAGGUGGGGCUUGGCUGGAGGCCAGACCAUGACUCUACUGUUAAGGUGGCCCGAUUUCGAGCUGCAGCUGCUUCCUGGUUUGUCUUAAGGCGGAAUGGAGAAAUGGAGGGGAAGAAUCCUCUCUUCUCUCUGGUUUCCUCCCCGCCCUUGCUGUCACUUGUGGGAAGGAAGGUCAUGCUGUGAUUGCUCUAAAACUCUAGAACAGAAGUCCAAGGAUCCUUGGGCAGGCAGAGCUCCGCAGUGGUCAUCUAGGUCAUCCCUCUGCCGCAGGCUCACUGGCUGCCUCCUGAUCGGCAAGUUGGGAGGGAGAUCGGCAUCCACCAGGCUUGUUCAGUCUUCGUGCUUCCCUUGCCAGGAAUUCCCCUCCGGCUCCUCCCUCUCCGCUUUCCAGCCGGGUCAGUAUCCGAGUGAGAUUAACAGUCCAUUCUACUGCAAGGAGCUAGCAUACUCCUGGACUUCUGGUGGCCGAGGGUUCUUCUUCAUUCAGAGGGAACGCCCGGAGUCUGGGCUCUAGGCUUUGGCAUGGAACAGCCCGUGGGGCCGGGCACCAGCACUGUGGGCAGAGGCCAGAGUCUGGGCAGGGGCUUUUCUGUUCGUUGAUGGCAGGCUGGACUUCCCCCAACAGAUCCAGAAUGAGCCUUCUUAGAGACGGAAAGAAAACACAAUUGCUAUCCUACAGGGUCUUCUGGAAUUGCUGCCUGAGAAGGAAACUAGAUGUUGCCUGACUUCUCCUUACAUGGCACCCAUUUCAUCCCAGAAUUCAGGGAACUAAUUUUGGGUCCUGGAAUUUCCCUGUUUGCUGUUAGACCUCUUCCCCCACGGUCUCCCAGGUCACAAAGCUAACCCAGCUCAGAAGAACUGCAGGCCGGGAAGCUUUCUCCAGGAGCUGGGGGCACUGGAUGCUUCCAUCAUAUUAGCCAUCUGUUCUCUGGAGCAGCCCCCCAAAGGGGGCCACAAGUUGGGCAUUGAUCUCUGCCCAUUUGGGAUCUUUGCUUGGGUUCCAGAAGGACAGUCAGGUCAUUUUCAUUAGCUUUGGCUCAUUGUUACCAAUCACCCUGUUCCUCCCAGGGCUUCCCUCGCCUUCCUCCUUGCACCUCUCUUCCUGGUGAUCAGAAGAACCUGGAAGGGUAUCCCGCCAAUAGACGGCCAAAAGGCAGAGCAGGCAGCCGUGCCAGUGGCAGUGCCAGCGAAAGGACGGGCGAUUAAAACAAAAUGAUUCAUCUUGGGAAUGAGUGCAAAUCACUUUCCAUUUACAGGAAUCGGGGCUGGGCUCCAAACAGCCUCUGUGGGCUCAUGGGGGAGAUGGGAGUCUGGGCCAUUGACCGUUAAGUAAUGAGCUUUGCUGAGUGCUCCCUGCUGACUCUGUGGAGAGGAGAUCUGGCUGGCAACAUGGGCGGGGGAGCCAGAGAACAGGCAGGAGAGGCUUGGGGCUGUUUAGGGCAGUUAGGACACAGGAGAGAGUGGGAGAGGGCUCC
Ailuropoda melanoleuca (giant panda) is the source of this 2604-nucleotide long non-coding RNA. Lineage: Eukaryota; Metazoa; Chordata; Mammalia; Carnivora; Ursidae. The record is from Ensembl.